This is a non-coding RNA of Heterocephalus glaber (naked mole-rat), 2731 nucleotides long. The record is from RefSeq and is a predicted model, not a curated record. Lineage: Eukaryota; Metazoa; Chordata; Mammalia; Rodentia; Bathyergidae.
CGAGCGGUGGGCCAGUGACCUGAGUGCACGUUCAUUUGGCUUGGUUUGUUUCAGAUCCUACACAGUGGUCUCUCUGACCACCAAGGAAUGUGGAGAGAUGCCCUGGCAGUCAGGCUGGGAUAAUGGACUGAGGGCGAAGAACACCAAGGAGCACAGUGCCGAGAGGACCAACCACACCUGAGGAUCUAAGGUGCUUUCUGGGCCGCACACAGCGUGGACAGGCCCUGCUCUCUGCAGUUUUACUCCAGUGGCCUGAGGAUGCGUCAACAAGUAGAUACAUCAAGGGCCGGGGAUUUAGCUCAGUGGUUUCGCUACCUGCUGCACAAGUGCAAGGACCGGAGUUCAAUCCCCGGUACCAAAAAAAAACCCAACAAGUAGAUACAUCACAUGAUGGGGCUAGGAAGGGGAAAAGGGGGUUCUGUGGGAGUGGCUGAUUCAAAUGAGGGUAGCCAGAAGAGUGGCAGGGGCAGGCCAGCGGCUGUCUGGGACAAGAGAGCAGAGAGAGGGACCAGCUGGUGCAAAGGAUCCUCUCAGGCGAGGUGGGCAGGAGCAGCGGGAGGCCCAUGCAGCUGGACAGUUGGAGACCGGCAGGGAUGGUGCCUGCCCUCAUAGGGCAGGGUGGGCCCAGCCAAGCUGAGCACAGCACACCUUUCUGAGCCUCAGUUUCUCCAAAUGAAGAGCUUGGGCUGCUUCUAGGUAUCUUAUGUCACCUAUGUCCUAAGACGCAGAGAAGCAUGUUAACUGUGAUCCUGAUGGAGUGCAGGACACGCAAACCUAAAAUACGACUGUCGGAGAACAGAGUAUGCCACUGCAAGUAUGUUGCUCUGGAACAAGUGUUAUUUUGAGCCAGUUAUUUUGGAAGACUGCAGACAUAAGAAAAGCUUUGGAAACAGAAAAGAGGUGAGCUUUUUGUAAGGGAAAUUUACAUUGCUAAGGAAAGAUUUCUGUAAGGUGCCUCUCUGUCUCUGGAUCAGGAAGAGAAAGAGGACUCCAAAUCACAAAAGACUCACAGUCAGUGGAAAAGGCACCACUUAGAUCUGUAGAACAAUUCAUCUUGUUUUUACAGGACUUUUCCACACCCUUAUUUCUUUAUUUCAAGAAUAAUUAUAUUUUUUUAAAAAAAAAAGAAUAAUCAUAUUUAAACUUGAAGUCUAAGCCAGCUCUUUGAGAUCUACUCUUCCGAUUUCUCAUCUUUCUGGAUUAUCUCCCAGGUAUACAGGAGGUAUACAUGUUAUUCAGUUUCUUAUUCUUGUGUUAAUCUGCCUUUUGCUGCAAGGAAUCUCAGCUAAGAUCUCAUGAAGGGUGGAGGAGGAAAUGAUGCUUCCUCCUCCACAUUCCAUCUUUAGAAGCAAACACUGCCCGAAUCCUUAGGUACACAUGUACAUUUGACAUAUAUGCACGUUAUUACACAUAGAGAAUUAUGGCAGGUUGUAUAUCCCCAAGGCUAAUUUGAGCUUCCUGGACAAAAGAAAAAAGACAAACAGAAUAAAGACAGACCUCAUUAAUAUACUUCAAAACUUCAUGUUGCAUAUGAUAAAUAUAUAUACAUUUUGUUGGUCAAUUUAAAAAUAAAAAAUAAAAAUCUUUUAAAAUUAAAAAGAAGAUCCCAUUACAACCAAGGAUAUAUAUGUAGAUGAGCUCACCGGAAAAACAAGAUGGAGCUAGAUCUAAACCUAUGGAUUCGUAGGGUCACCACUAAAGAGUAAGUGAAACCAUUAAAAAAAAAGCUACAGCGUUGAGAAUGGUUUAAUCCUGUGUUUGUGAAGGCAGACCUGACGAUAACUUCCCUGCCUACUUCCGUCCUGUGUGGCCGGCUGUGCGGAGGCCGUCCUCACAGGGUCUCUGGGAGGACUGGAGAAGCUGCUGCACCUCCUCCAGAUAGGUGAUGGGGGGGGUGGCCCAACCCUGGCCCCAGGGGACUCCCAGGAGCAGGGCAAGCCCAGGAACAGGAUUCUGGACGACUUCGGCCCUGCCACGCUUGCCCUCUGAAUGCAGGAACUGCUGUCUUCAGCCACAAAACCCUUGGCGGGGCAUUUUUGAAAUUAGAAGGCCGUGUAGCACUCACACUGAAACUCGCCAUUGUGUUGGUGUCGGAGGUCCUUAAGAGGUACGCCAGGCCCGCAGACAUGGAAGGAACAAAGCCAGCACCUAGAGGGCAGGAAACGCAAUGUCCCGGUUGAAUCCCCUCCUCCCAGACUAGCAAUUGCAGCUGGGUAAGAUGCUGCUGCUCAUAAGGCUGCAUACUAAGCAGAGGUCACCAGGAUCAUCAAAUUCACCACCAACAAAGCCCACUCCUUUUCAGAGCUUAUCAGCAAGAACAGCAUGGACCAGCUUUGUGUUGCAGGGGGAUCAUGUGGAGCCCUGUGGCCCUGGGCCGAACAGCUAGCAGCAUGUGAGUCUCUUGUUCCUGCCAAAAGCAGUGGUAGAUUUGUGAAUGUUAAUUUACACAAGACAGUGGGUGUGCACUGUCUCUAAAAAUAAUGCUGACUCUCGCACGUGCAUGCUGAAGCAGAUAGAUGUGCCUGUCCCCCACGGAGUCCUCAGAGGAUACAUCUUUCCUAUUCUUAAAACAAGGGCGAAGUUUAAGAAAUAAAGAUAAAAACGCUAUUUGCUUUUCUCUAUUUGCAUUUUCAGGCUAGUGGUGUCAGAGAUGCCUGACCCUUGCCGAGUCCCGGUUGGCACACAUGGAGACUGCCUUUGAGGCGGUGACUUCCUGAGUGCUGACCCCGUG